This 2485-nucleotide long non-coding RNA is filed under the name Homo sapiens (human). Its description in RNAcentral is "HSALNT0331112". Lineage: Eukaryota; Metazoa; Chordata; Mammalia; Primates; Hominidae. The record is from RNAcentral.
UAAACAAUAGGGCAGAGGAAGCAAUCGGAUAGGCAUUUGCUUCAGGUGAGCAGAGGGAUGACUUUCUGUCCCACAUCUGUGAAGAUCAGCUGUUGGUUUACAUUGCCAGGGUGAAAUUCAACAGAACUAAUUUAGGGUGAAGAUCUUGAGGCCCACAAGGAAUUUCCUUGUGGGAAAAUUGUGAGGAAGGAAUAGGUCCUUCUGUCACGGGGCACAGGACCCUUGACCGCAAAAUGACGUGAGUUACCACUGACUAUUUUCUGGGUCUUGAUCUUGUGACUCCAAAUGGAUGGACCCAAAGGGACCUAAGAGAGUGCUCAGACAGCUGGCUGCGUUAGGAGCUACCUGUGGCUGCUGAAGAAGAGUUUGCGUCAAUUUAAAGAAAGAGCCAUUCAAGGAAUGAGGACCAUGACCUUGGCUGCACUGACCAGCUGGGCUCUGGAGACUCAGUGAGGCUGCCCAGCCACCAACAGGCCCUGCACAAUAGAUCCACGGACCCAGCAGUCAGAGGUGACCCUAGGGGUCACUGGCCCGUGGCUAAGGAGGAGGAGCACAGACCUGCGACCCCCUUUUCCCAUGGACCACCCAGGGAGGCUGAGCGGGGACUCUGAGCUCAGAUGGACAACCUCAGAGCCACUGGGAAUUUGCCUGAGGCCACUGGGGCCAGGGUUAAAUCCAUAUGAAGCAGCGCGGGCUGUGCACCUGCCAUUUUCUAGGCUCUGUCACAUGCAUCUUUCUGCCAAAUCUCAUGGUGAUCCUUCAAGAAUAGUACUAUUAAUCUCCCCAUUGACAGAGGGAGAAAGGGAGGCUCAGAGACGUUAAGUGUCUCACCAAAGCUCACACAGCUUCCAAGCAAUAGAACUUUACUCAGUACUCAGUACAGGUUAACAUUUAUUCAUUCACUCGAUAACCAUUUGCAGCACAGCUACCAUAUGCCAGGCAGUGUUCUAGGCACUUAGAAUACAUAGAUGAGCAAAACAGGCAAAACCUUUCCCUCAGGGCGUUACCAUUUGAGUGCCACCAUGCCACGGCUGGUACAGUUGCUAUUGAGACAAACAAAAUAAGACCCAGUUUUUGCCUUUGGGGAGUAGGUAGUCUAGUGGAGGAGGCACAUACACAGAAAAUUCCAAAGUACUGUGGAAAUCUCAGGGUACUUUGAUAGGGAUUACCAGAGGAGCUGUGAGAAUAAAGGCUGGAUAUCAGGGAAGGCUUCCUGGAAGAGGUGUUGCCUGAAAUGAGCCUGGAAGGAUCACUUAGGGACAGAAAAGUCAUUCCGUGUAGAAUUCAUGGUGAGUGACAGAGCCUAAACCCAGUCUCUUUUGCAUGCUGAGCACUGAGACCCAGACGCUGGUGCUCAGACCUGAUGACUUAUUUUCCCAGGUACAGCUUGAGCAAAGACACAGAAGCAGAAGGCAGGUUUUUGGUUCCAUGAACUCUACAUCUGGCUACAUACAAAUGGUGAAGAGGAACAGGGAGAAACAUGGUUGAAAAGAACAGGCUUGGACUUCAGGAAGCAGUAAAAUGAGCGAAUGCCAUUUAUGGUUACAAAGAUAACUCAGCUGGGGGCCAAACAGAGACUGAAAUGGAGUGGGUGAGGAUGGAGGCCGGGAGGAGAUGGCUGCAGAGGUCCCAGCAAUGACAGUGGUUGUGGGAAGGGGCAACCCCAAGUCUUGUGCUCCCAACUGCAAAUCCAGUGCUUUUUCUAAAAAAAUAUUUAAAUAAUUUAUUUAUUUUUGAGAUGGAGUCUCGCUCUGUCACCCAGGCUGGAGUGCAGUGACACAAUGUCGGCUCGUGCAACCUCUGCCCCCCGGGUUCAAGCGAUUCUCCUGCCUCAGCCUCCCAAGUAGCUGGGAUUACAGACGCACGCCUCCACGCCUGGCUAAUUUUUUAUAUUUUUGGUAGAGAUGGGGUUUCACCAUGUUGCCCAGGCUGGUCUCGAACUCCUGACUUCAAGUGAUCCACCCACCUCGGCCUCCCAAAGUACUAGGAUGACAGGCGUGAGCCACUGUGCCCAGCCUUAUUUUUUUUUUUAAUUUAUAUUUUCAGAGGCAAACGAUCCUUGCUCAUUAAAAAAAGGAAAUAGAAAUUCAAAACAAAAAUGCCUGUAUCUGAUGGGAAAGAUGAGCCCAAUGUUCUUUUUUAAAAAACCUUUAUUAUGAAAUAUUUCAACUGAACAUAUGCAGUUUAUAUUGUUAUAAAGCAUAACAAGCAAUCAAACAGCUGUGAACCCACCACUCCAUGUCAGAACUAGAACUUCCCAAAGCAGUCGGAGCUGAGGUGAGAUCCACUCUGAUGCCCUUCCCCAACUCCACGCCACCCCCCAAGACCUGACCACCUGAUUACUCUGGGAUUUCAUUUUUGUCUCGUUCCCUUGCUUUGCUUUAUGUCUUUACCAAAUGUGAAUGUGUGCCUAAACAAUACAGUGCUCGAUUUGCUUGUGUUUAAGCUUUAUUACAAAUAUAACUUUGAUCCUUCUGCUACUUGC